CGCGGCUUCGCUGAGGGGGCGUGGCUUCGUUUAGCGCUGUGGGCUCAGUGGGGGGCGUGGCUUCGCUUAGCACUGUGCUCUCCGUGAGGGGCGUGGUUUCGCUGAGGGGCCGCGGCCUAAACUGGGCCAAAGUUCGGGGCCGCGGGUUCGAGUCCCGGCUCGGGCGGCGGCCAUGGCGCGGCGAGCCGUGAUUUUCGACCUCGGCGUUCUGCUCAAGCCGGGCCUGGAGCACUUCCUGAGCGCCUGCGAGCGCGACUGGGCCCUGCCCAGAGGUUUCCUGGCGGCCGUUCUGGAUUCCGGGGGGUCCCAGAGCCCCAAAUCCCGAGCGCUGCGGGGCCACAUCGGCCUCACCCAGGUGGGCCGGGAUCCAUUCCGGGCUUGGGAUCCACUCCGGGAUCUGGGAUCCACCCUGGGGAUUGGGAUCAACUCGGGGAUUCGGGAUCCACUUUGGUAUUUGGGAUCCAUUCCAGGGUUUGGGACCCAUUCCGGGGCUUGGGAUCCACUCCGGGAUCUGGGAUCCAUCCCAUUGAUUAUGAUCCGUUCCAGGAUCUGGGAUCCACUCCGGGAUCUGGGAGCCAUCCCGGGGAUUGGGAUCCAUGCGGGGAUUUGGGGUCCACAUUUGGGAUUUGGGAUCCACUCCAGGGUUUGGGAUCCAUUCCGGGGCUUGGGACCCACCCUGGGAUCUGGGAUCCACCUUGGGGCUUGAGAUCCACUCGGGGAUUCGGGAUCCAUUCCAGGGCUUGGGAUCAACCCUGGGAUCGGGAUCCACCCUGGGGGUUGGGAUCCACUUUGGGAUUUGGAAUGCAUCCCAGGAUUUGGGAUUGACCUUGAGGAUUUUGGAUACCCCCCCUGGGAUUUGGGAUCAACCCUGGGAUUGGGAUCCACCCAGGGGGUGUGUGUGUGUGUGGUGUGGGAUCCACUCUGGGACUGGGAUCCACUCCAGGGUUUGGGAACAACCCUGGGAAAUUUUGGGAUCAAUCUUUGGGAUUUGGGAUCCACUCCAGGAUUCGGGAGCGAUCCCGAAAUUCCUGGGAUUUGGGAUCCACACGGGGGCUUGGGAUCGACCCCAGGG
This 1072-nucleotide long non-coding RNA is filed under the name Junco hyemalis (dark-eyed junco). RNAcentral describes it as "lncRNA (ENSJHYG00000008100.1)". Lineage: Eukaryota; Metazoa; Chordata; Aves; Passeriformes; Passerellidae. The record is from RNAcentral.